UACUUAAAAUUACAACUUACAACUUACAACUCCCAUUAGCGCCAUGUGUCGCAUAGGGCGCGAAUGGAAGCCUUCCAUCUGAGUCUGUCUGCUGCUGCUUGUUGUGCUUCUCCCCAUGUUCUCCAUCCAAACUCUGUUCUUUCCUUAUCUACCAUUCGUCUCCAAGUUUCUUUUGGUCUUCCUACAUUUCUCUUUCCUGGUGGUGUCCAUGUCAAGGCGAUUCUACAAUCAUUCCAUGGGUCCAUCCUCAGGAUGUGACCUAUCCAACUCCAUCUCCUGAUCUUAAUGGUGUUGGUUAUGCUGCACAUGUUGGCUUUUUGUAGCAGUUCUGCGUUGGAUAUCGUAGUUGGCCAAAAUAUCUUAAAGAUUCUACGCAAGUUCCUGGUGUUGAAGGUGUUAAGUCUAUCUCCAUCUCUCUUGCUUAUCUUCCAACAUUCUGCCCCAUAUAGCAACACUGAUAUAACAUUGCUUUUAUAAAUUUUCAUUUUGGUGUUUCUACUGUAUUGGUUUGAUGUCCAUAUUUUUCUUAGCUUAUAGUAUGCUGCUCUUGCUUUUUUAAUUCUAUUCCUUAUGUCGGCUGUUGCAUUGUCGUUGGUAUCUAUGACCGAUCCAAGGUAUGUGAAGCUGUCUACUAUCUCUAUUUCUUCGUUGUUCAAUGUAAUAGGCUGGAUGUUGUUUGCCUUUACACACAUUAUUUUACUCUUUUUCUUGUUUAUUUCUAAGCCAGUUGUUUUAGCUAUCUUUUGUAUAUCAUCUGUUUUAGCUUGCAGCUGUGUUCUUGUUGCUGAUAGGAGAGCAAUAUCAUCUGCAAAAUCAAGAUCUUCUAAUACCUGUAGUCUUCCCCAGUUGAUACCACGCUUUUUCUGUGUUGUUUGCUUCAUUGUCCAAUCUAUAACCAGUAAGAAAAGGAAAUCCAGACAUUACACAAACCUUGUCUGACUCCUGAUUUAAUGUGGAACCAUUCCGAAUGUUUACCCUCAUGUUCUACUACACAACUGAAGUUAUCAUAAAAUGCUUGUACCAUCCUGAUUAUUUUACCUGGGAUUCCAUAGUUUGCCAUGAUCUUUUUUAAGGUUUCUCGAUGGAUAGUGUCAAAUGCUCUUCUGAAAGUCGAUGAAGUUGAUAAAUAGGGGGCUGUUCCAUUCAAUGCAUUGUUCUAUAAUAUUUCUAAGGAUGAAUAUUUGGUUGAUACAGCCUCGACCUCUUCGGAACCCAGCUUGUUCUUUACGUAGUAUGUUGUCAAUAGCAUCUUUAAUUCUGUUGAUGAUGAUUCUGCAGAGGACCUUCCCAGGUACAGAUAGUAAGGUUAUUCCUCUCCAGUUUUCACACUCUUCUAAAUUUCCUUUUUUUGAGAGUUUGAUUAUAAUUCCCUUUUUGCCAGUCUGUUGGUAUUUCUUCCCUGUUCCAAAUUUUGGUAAAUAAAUGGCAAAAGACUUUUGCUAUUGUGCCUACAUCAGUUUUCAAUAGUUCAGCUUGUAUGUUGUCAAUACCUGGAGCCUUACCAUUACUGAGUGCCUUUAUGCUCUUUAUUAUCUCUUCUAUGGUUGGUGGUUCAAUAUUCAUAUCGACAACAUCUGAAGGAUGAAUAUCGGCUAGUACUGGUGGAUCUUUCGCAUUUAAAAUCUCUUCAAAGUGUUCUUUCCAUCUCUCUAACUGUUCCUUCUCGUUGGUUAUAACAUGUCCCUCUUUUGACUUUACAGGUCUGUUCCCUCUCAUGCUGCUGUUGGAAAUUUUCUUACUCAGCAUAUAUAGCUUGUUCUGCUCUCCUCUAUUUGCUGCCUCUUCUGCACUUUUUGCAAUAUUAUCAAUAUAUUUUCUCUUAUCAUCUCUGGUACUAAAUUUUACCUCCUUGUUCUUAUCCUUAUAAUCUUUCUCAAGCUUUUCUUUCUGUCUUUGUGAUCUUGUAGCAUUAAUUUUUUGUUUUAUCUGUUUACGUUCUUGUAUUUUGUGGAUACUGUUGGUAGUAAUCCAUUCUGGUUGUUUUCUGUCUUUAAAUCCCAAUGUUUGCUCACCAACCUCACAUAUUGCUUGUUUAAUAUCUAUCCACUGUUCUUCUAUGCCUUCUGUUUCUCCCAAUACCUGGAAUCUGUUCCUUAACUCAAGUUUGAACUCUUGUGCAACUUUUGGUAUCUUUAGCUUAUCUGUGUCAUAUCUUUUCUUCUGUCCCUGAUUUACUCUCUGUCUACAAAGUUUAAGCUUAACUCUGGAUAUAAGUAGUUCAUGGUCACUACCAACAUCAGCACCUCUAUAUGACCGUACAUCUUCCAUAGAUCCUCUAAACCUUUUGUCAAUCGUGAUGUGAUCAAUCUGAUUCUUGAUGUUUCCGUCUGGUGACGUCCAUGUAUAUUUAUGAAUAUCUUUAUGUUGGAAUAUGCUGGAGCAAAUUACAAUGUUGUUAGUCUGACAAUAAUCCCGAAAUAGUUCUCCGUUCUCAUUGAUAACACCAUACCCAUUCUUCCCCAUUACAUCUUCAUAUCCAACAUUAUCUGAUCCUAUCUUUGCAUUCAUGUCACCCAUUACAAUUAUCAUAUCAUGUUUAUGAACUUUUGCUGUUACAUCGUUCAAGGUUUGGUAGAAUUCCUCUUUUACUUCAUCAGAAGCGUCAUUCGUUGGUGCAUAACACUGUAUUAUGGUCAACUUUAUAUGUCUAGAAAAAAAUCGAGCUGUUAUUAUUCUUUCAUUAAUAGGUUGCCAUUCCAUGAGUGUUUUUCUGUUUGCUUUUGAUAUAAUAAGUGCUACUCCAUACUCAUGUCUUUCUCUGUUUGUCCUGAGUAUAGCAUAGUCUCACCACCUCUGAGGUUGAUCUUUCCUGUUCCGGUCCAACGACAUUCACUAAUACCCAAUACAUCAAUUCCAUAGUUGUUCAUUUCAUUUACUACCUGGUAUGUCUUUCCAGGUGCAUACAUUGUUCUAACAUUCCAGCAUCCGACCUUGAUCUGUUUUCUAGGGUGAACCAAAGGUUCUCUCCUGAUGUUUGCUUCCAAUUGAUUUUGGGUUUGGCCAACAUCAUUCAUUAAACCUUCUAACUGAUUUCUGUUUUCUGGUCUCACCUCGGUAUUUCCCAUCAGAAAAGUCGUUCUUCCAUUUCGCGUUUCUGUAACUUUAAAGUUUUUUACAAGGAUAGGUUGUUGGCCUAACGCUCAAUCCCCAACCUGGAGAACCAGAGAAUCUUUACUCAAGGUUUCUUUCCUAUAGAUCCAUUGCCGACCAAGGCUGACGAGUCAAAUCUACCCGGUAUUUUAUAUCAGAGUUUUCUUCUCCUAUAUGAAUUGCCUUUCAAGGCUGACGACUUUCAUCUAGCCGGCUAUUAACCCAUAACUGGGGCAAGGUUGAUGAGUGCUAGGGCGUAUCCACACGCCGGUGGGCCUACACACUUCAUCUCUAGGGUCCUUGCUACUCCGAGAUCCUCUACAGUAAGGCCUAGGACACAAGGUCCUAGUUACCGUGUGCUGUCGCGGGGAGGCACUGUAGAAGUCUUGUUAGUGUAGAGGCUAUGUACUGGCAGGAAAGACUUACGCACUCGGCUUUCUUUUCACCUAUGAAUAUAAGCUAUCCAGCGGCAGUUUAAGAGUCU
This 3574-nucleotide long non-coding RNA is filed under the name Mytilus galloprovincialis (Mediterranean mussel). Lineage: Eukaryota; Metazoa; Mollusca; Bivalvia; Mytilida; Mytilidae. The record is from RNAcentral.